AAUACAUAGCGUGAGGAAGGCAGACCCAGGGAACUGAAACAUCUAAGUACCUGGAGGAAGAGAAAGAAAAAUCGAUUUCCUGAGUAGCGGCGAGCGAAACGGAAAGAGCCCAAACCAAGAAGCUUGCUUCUUGGGGUUGUAGGACACUCUAUACGGAGUUACAAAAGAAAGUUAUAAAUGAAGCGGUCUGGAAAGGCCCGCCAAAGACGGUAACAGCCCGGUAGUUGAAAUGGCUUUCCCUCCAGAGUGGAUCCUGAGUACGGCGGAACACGUGAAAUUCCGUCGGAAUCCGGGAGGACCAUCUCCCAAGGCUAAAUACUCCCUAGUGACCGAUAGUGAACCAGUACCGUGAGGGAAAGGUGAAAAGCACCCCGGAAGGGGAGUGAAACAGUUCCUGAAACCGUGUGCCUACAAGUAGUUAGAGCCCGUUAAUGGGUGAUAGCGUGCCUUUUGUAGAAUGAACCGGCGAGUUACGAUUUGUUGCAAGGUUAAGCGGAAAAAGCGGAGCCGUAGCGAAAGCGAGUCUGAAUAGGGCGCAUAAGUAACAGGUCGUAGACCCGAAACCAGGUGAUCUACCCAUGUCCAGGAUGAAGGUAAGGUAAUACUUACUGGAGGUCCGAACCCACGCACGUUGAAAAGUGCGGGGAUGAGGUGUGGGUAGCGGAGAAAUUCCAAUCGAACUUGGAGAUAGCUGGUUCUCUCCGAAAUAGCUUUAGGGCUAGCCUCGAGGUAAAGAGUCAUGGAGGUAGAGCACUGUUUGGACUAGGGGCCCUUCUCGGGUUACCGAAUUCAGAUAAACUCCGAAUGCCAUGUACUUAUACUCGGGAGUCAGACUGCGAGUGAUAAGAUCCGUAGUCGAAAGGGAAACAGCCCAGACCACCAGUUAAGGUCCCCAAAUAUAUGUUAAGUGGAAAAGGAUGUGGGGUUGCUUAGACAACCAGGAUGUUGGCUUAGAAGCAGCCACCAUUGAAAGAGUGCGUAAUAGCUCACUGGUCGAGUGACCCCGCGCCGAAAAUGUACCGGGGCUAAACAUAUUACCGAAACUGUGGAUGAACCUCUUUAGAGGUUCGUGGUAGGAGAGCGUUCUAAGGGCGGUGAAGUCAGACCGGAAGGACUGGUGGAGCGCUUAGAAGUGAGAAUGCCGGUAUGAGUAGCGAAAGAAGGGUGAGAAUCCCUUCCACCGAAUAUCUAAGGUUUCCUGAGGAAGGCUCGUCCGCUCAGGGUUAGUCGGGACCUAAGCCGAGGCCGAUAGGCGUAGGCGAUGGACAACAGGUAGAGAUUCCUGUACCAGUGCUAAUUGUUUAACCGAUGGGGUGACACAGAAGGAUAGGGAAUCGCACGAAUGGAAAUGUGCGUCCAAGCAGUGAGUGUGAG
RNAcentral lists this ribosomal RNA (1374 nucleotides) under Listeria monocytogenes. RNAcentral describes it as "partial 23S ribosomal RNA". It matches the Rfam family "Bacterial large subunit ribosomal RNA", at positions 161 to 1529 of the family's 2925-position model. Lineage: Bacteria; Bacillati; Bacillota; Bacilli; Caryophanales; Listeriaceae. The record is from RNAcentral.